RNAcentral lists this ribosomal RNA (1249 nucleotides) under metagenome. Its description in RNAcentral is "bacterial LSU rRNA". It matches the Rfam family "Bacterial large subunit ribosomal RNA", at positions 1635 to 2876 of the family's 2925-position model. The record is from RNAcentral.
UAUACGACCGUACCGCAAACCGACACUGGUGCGCGAGAUGAGUAUUCUAAGGCGCUUGAGAGAACUCAGGAGAAGGAACUCGGCAAAUUGACACCGUAACUUCGGAAGAAGGUGUGCCCUAUUAGUGUGUAGUGAACAACGAAGCAUGAAUGGGUUGCAAAAAAUCGGUGGCUGCGACUGUUUAUUAAAAACACAGCACUCUGCAAACACGAAAGUGGACGUAUAGGGUGUGACGCCUGCCCGGUGCUGGAAGAUUAAAUGAUGGGGUGCAAGCUCUUGAUUGAAGUCCCAGUAAACGGCGGCCGUAACUAUAACGGUCCUAAGGUAGCGAAAUUCCUUGUCGGGUAAGUUCCGACCUGCACGAAUGGCGUAACGAUGGCCACACUGUCUCCUCCUGAGACUCAGCGAAGUUGAAAUGUUUGUGAUGAUGCAAUCUCCCCGCGGAAAGACGGAAAGACCCCAUGAACCUUUACUGUAGCUUUGUAUUGGACUUUGAACAGAUCUGUGUAGGAUAGGUGGGAGGCUUUGAAGCAGGGUCGCUAGAUCUUGUGGAGCCAACGUUGAAAUACCACCCUGGUGUGUUUGAGGUUCUAACCUAGGUCCAUUAUCUGGAUCGGGGACAGUGCAUGGUAGGCAGUUUGACUGGGGCGGUCUCCUCCCAAAGCGUAACGGAGGAGUUCGAAGGUACGCUAGUUACGGUCGGACAUCGUGACGAUAGUGCAAUGGCAUAAGCGUGCUUAACUGCGAGACUGACAAGUCGAGCAGAUGCGAAAGCAGGACAUAGUGAUCCGGUGGUUCUGUAUGGAAGGGCCAUCGCUCAACGGAUAAAAGGUACUCUGGGGAUAACAGGCUGAUACCGCCCAAGAGUUCAUAUCGACGGCGGUGUUUGGCACCUCGAUGUCGGCUCAUCUCAUCCUGGGGCUGUAGCCGGUCCCAAGGGUAUGGCUGUUCGCCAUUUAAAGAGGUACGUGAGCUGGGUUUAAAACGUCGUGAGACAGUUUGGUCCCUAUCUUCCGUGGGCGCUGCAGAUUUGAGGAAGCCUGCUCCUAGUACGAGAGGACCGGAGUGGACACACCUCUGGUGUAUCGGUUGUCACGCCAGUGGCAUUGCCGAGUAGCUAAGUGUGGAAGAGAUAACCGCUGAAAGCAUCUAAGCGGGAAACUCGUUUCAAGAUGAGAUCUGCCGGGGCCUUGAGCCCCCUAAAGAGUCGUUCAAGACCAGGACGUUGAUAGGUCAGGUGUGGAAACAA